Stylophora pistillata is the source of this 184-nucleotide long non-coding RNA. RefSeq lists it as uncharacterized. The record is from RefSeq and is a predicted model, not a curated record. Lineage: Eukaryota; Metazoa; Cnidaria; Anthozoa; Scleractinia; Pocilloporidae.
GGAAAGCAAGAGAAUUGCGGAUAUCUGAGGAACCACAAUCAGGUCGGCAAAUAAAGGUGACAGACCUAGAGGGAAAACAAUGGAUGCGAAAAUUCAAGGAAACAGCGUGCUUCCAGGAAAACAAAAAAAGAGAAGAAAAGGAAUCAAGUGAUAAGGUUAGCUUUAGAGGGAAUAAGCCAGAAUU